GAUGAAGAACGCAGCGAAAUGCGAUACGUAAUGUGAAUUGCAGAAUUCAGUGAAUCAUCGAAUCUUUGAACGCAUAUUGCGCUCUCUGGUAUUCCGGAGAGCAUGCUUGUUUGAGUAUCAGUAAACACCUCAACUUCCAUAUCUUUUUUGAAAUGGGAGUUGGACUUGAGUGAUCCCAACGCUUUUCCUCACCGACAAGUGGCGGGUUACUUGAAAUGCAGGUGCAGCUGGACUUUUCUCUGAGCUAUAAGCAUAUCUAUUUAGUCUGCCUAAAAAACAGAUUAUUACCUUUGCUGCAGCUAACAUAAAGGAGAUUAGUUCUUGUGCUGACUGAUGCAGGAUUCACAAAGACAGGCUUCGGCCGACUUUGUAAACUCGAUCUCAAAUCAAGUAAGACUACCCGCUGAACUUAAGCAUAUCAAUAAGCGGAGGA
This 433-nucleotide unclassified non-coding RNA is filed under the name soil metagenome. Its description in RNAcentral is "partial contains 5.8S ribosomal RNA, internal transcribed spacer 2, and large subunit ribosomal RNA". The stretch from base 1 to 120 matches the Rfam family "5.8S ribosomal RNA", at positions 35 to 154 of the family's 154-position model. The record is from RNAcentral.